CAUUCAUCCAGAAGGGUGAAGGGAGCAGGCCCGAUGAAGCCCUGGCAACCGCCGUCGGCACCCCCCGACGGAAAGGUGCCCCAUCCUGCCUCGACUGCUGUCGAGGAAAGAUGAGUG
RNAcentral lists this non-coding RNA (117 nucleotides) under Salinibacter ruber. RNAcentral's name for it is "SAM-I sequence". It matches the Rfam family "SAM riboswitch aptamer (S box leader)". Rfam says of the family: The SAM riboswitch is found upstream of a number of genes which code for proteins involved in methionine or cysteine biosynthesis in Gram-positive bacteria. The SAM riboswitch acts at the level of transcription termination control. The predicted structure consists of a complex stem-loop region followed by a single stem loop terminator region. RNAcentral also lists the same sequence under 1 other name. The record is from RNAcentral. Lineage: Bacteria; Pseudomonadati; Rhodothermota; Rhodothermia; Rhodothermales; Salinibacteraceae.